UGGUAAUUAACCGAGGAAAGAAAUAGCUACAACAUUCUUUAUUAUGUCGAUGUGAAAAAUUUGAAUGAAGGUUUGUUGUAAAAUAUAGAAGUUGUGUCAAAGCUGUCAUUGUCCAGUCUGAGUUGCGACUACUUGAAUCUAUCACAUCUUCGUCAUCGGCUCUAUAUUAAUAUGUAAGUAUUAUUAACAGAAAUAACGUCUACAUUGAAUAGGUCGUGUCCUCUUUCUUCUACAUCUGUUUGUUUUGAUGUGUUCAAAGAUUAUGGAAAGAAAGUGAAGAAAAAUAGAAACCUUCCUAAAAUAACGAUGUUGCCUUUGGCAGAAACGUUAGCACGCCGGGCGAAAUGCGUAGCCGUAUUUCGUCUGCCGUUACGUUGUGAGUUCAAAUUCCGCCGAGGUCGACUUUGCCUUUCAUCCUUUCGGGGUCGAUAAAUUAAGUACCAGUUCCGCACUGGGGUUGAUGUAAUCAAUUUAAUACCUAUGUCUGUCUUUGUUUGUCCCCUCUAUGUUUAGCCCCUUGUGGGUAAUAAAGAAAUAGGUACGUGUAUAUGAAAUGGAUGUGUGUGUGAAAGAGAGUGAGUGAAGGGGUGUGUUGUCAUGUAUACAUACAUACAUCAUUACAUAUGCAUACAUCCUUUUUGUGUGCAUGUGUGUGUGUUUGAGAGAGAGUGCGUGUAAGUGAGUGAACGUGUGUAUUGUCAUGUAUGUGUAAGAGGUACACUCUCUCUUUCUCCCCCCCUCUCUCUCUCUUUCACACACACACACACAUGUGUAUGGAGUAUGUAUAUAAAGCUUUUAGUCUUGAAAAUGGAUGCAUGUAUUAGAUGGGUUCCAAUGUCCAGGAAGAAGUUUAUAACUACAGUUUAUCAAUAUUAGAAGAAAUGUAAUAAGAUGUCCAGUGUUGAAUGUCUUUGGUUUAAGUAUCCUCUGCAUUUUAUAUUUUGUUCUCUUUUCUUUCAGAAUAUCAAAUGAUAUUGGCGUAAAAGAAUAUUAUUUACCUGAGAUCCAUCAAUAUUUAUCAUCCUUUCAAGACAAAUGGAAGAUGUCAUACAGAACAAAUGUAACCAUUCGUUAUAUAAAUCUGUGGUAGAAUUACUGUGAAAUAUUGACUCCGAGCUGAGAUUAUUUGCAAAAUAGCCAUACAAGAUGAUUUUGCCUUCUAAAUAAAUUUGGACAAAAAUGGAGUUUGUGUACAUUCAAAUCUCAACAAAGACGAUGGAAGGAAAUG
This 1228-nucleotide long non-coding RNA is filed under the name Octopus vulgaris (common octopus). Lineage: Eukaryota; Metazoa; Mollusca; Cephalopoda; Octopoda; Octopodidae. The record is from RNAcentral.